UAAAACUAUGGAUAUCAGGAGAGGGGGAGUAAUUUCUCUCAUAGGACUUUGCCUGUUCCUUUUGCUUCUCAAGCUGUAGCCUGUAGAUAUAUAAAGGUAGGAUCCACUUCUUGAAAAUAUGCCAUGAAAAUAUACCCUGAAUAUUUUGUCUUCCAGGACACCUUCCUUGAAGAGUUGGGCCUAGCAAUAUGGCAGUGCACAUUGGAUAAGAAACCUUGUACCAGGCUGCUGCUCAGCUCUGUUCCAAAGGAGCUCACAAUACGUGUGUUUGUGCAUGAUGUGCCUCUGUUCUGGCCGCAGGGCCGUGUGCUCCCUGACCCACCGCCUUGACCGCCACGCAGCUAUUGCAGGGCCAGAGCUUGCUGGGUGCUCCUCAAUUGCCUUUAGGCUCCAACAUAGAAGUUGUCCUGUUUUUUUUUUUCAAUCGAAGAUGCUGAAGCUCUGCAGCUCCUGUUCUUGGCAUGAAUUCAGAGGGCUGAAAACUUUGGGACUCUUUUAAGGCUUGUGCUGUUACUUUAGGUGUUCCAAGGACUGAUGCUUCUGGACACAUCCAAUAUGGGUGGUUUGCUUCUCCCUCACAGCAGUUUGGAUUAAGGAACUGUGGAACCACCUGAGAUUUUGUGGAGGAGCUGUGUGGAGAAUGGGCACAUGCCUAGAAGAUGAAGUGAAGCACUAGAAAUACCAUGGCCAGAGAAUGGCUGAAAAUGAGCUGCUUCACUUCACUUCAGCACCCAUCCCUCUUCGCCCUCGUGGACAGUGGGUGCAGAUGGCACUGUGCUUUUCUUGGCGUGCCAGAUUUGAUAGAGGAGCAGUGACUUCCAAGACUAUUCUGCUCCAGCAAGCUUUACAGAAAUGAGAGGAAUCACAGCUCCAUAUCCAGCAGUCAGGAAGAAGGUUGGAAGGACAAAGAGAAGUUUUAAGGUGUACUGGAGCCUGCAGUGCCACAUUAAGUGAUGUGGAAGCAUGGACUGGCACCAGGAGUGAGGAGACUGUGGCUGCUGUGCUUGCAUCCCGUUGCUAUUUCUGGCAUACAGAGACUGAGCAGUGCUUGAUGGGCCAAAGGGUACCAAAUGAGGAUACCAAAAGUAAUCUGAACAUAGCAGCUUUCUUCCAAGGACCUCCAAACACUCCAGGGACAUGGUAAGCAUUGUUCUGAUGGUUCUAUAUUAUGGGGAAGCAAGUUAGGAAGAAAUGUUUGCUGACUGACUUGGUGUGGAAUUGAACAACGAAGCACAAAGCAGACAAGAAGCUGUUUGUCAAAUUCCUCACUUGACAGAGCACUGUUCUGGUAAUGCCCAAAUCAGUGCACCUAUGCCAAACUUGGCUUCCAAUGGAUGUGCCCCGCACUGUGACUUUGUACCUUGCCUCAAAUGAUUAGAAUUCUUCAUUUGUAUCAGUAAAUACUUUUUACUCCACUGAAGACACUUGAUUUAUUUGCAAACCAUUCUCAUAUAUCCUCAUACAUGAUUCGGUGCAGUCCAUAGAGCUGAGAUAGAACUUAAAGUCAGAGAGUCAUAGAAUCAACCAGGUUGGAAGAGACCUCCAAGGUCAUCCAGUCAAACCUACCACCUAACCCUUCUAAUUAACUAAACCAUGGCACUAAGGGCCUCAUCCAGUCUUUUGUUGAACAUCUCCAGGGAUGGCAACUCCACCACCUCCCUGGGCAGCCCAUUCCAAUGGCAUAUUUCUUACAUGAUCUCUGUGUAGUUUGCCUAGGAGGAAGUUACUGACUUGCCUCAAAGAGGCCUUAAGGUUUUAUAGUUAGUGCUUAGAUCGCUGAAUCAUCCUCUCUGGCUGAGCACCCCUUCUCCUUACAUGUCAUCUCCUUUGAAUUCUCAUUUCAGUUGGCCUCAGCAAAAAUCAGUAAUAGUUUGUCUUCACUCUGCUUUCUACUAUAACUGUGCACCUUCCGAGGUCUCUUCUCCCUCUGAACCUGUCUCCAUGAUUAAAUUCGUUCUUCCCUUCUGU
Long non-coding RNA from Pogoniulus pusillus (Red-fronted tinkerbird), 1968 nucleotides. RefSeq lists it as uncharacterized. The record is from RefSeq and is a predicted model, not a curated record. Lineage: Eukaryota; Metazoa; Chordata; Aves; Piciformes; Lybiidae. The transcript has 7 exons.